GACGAACGCUGGCGGCGUGCUUAACACAUGCAAGUCGAACGGAAAGGCCCUGCUUUUGUGGGGUGCUCGAGUGGCGAACGGGUGAGUAACACGUGAGUAACCUGCCCUUGACUUUGGGAUAACUUCAGGAAACUGGGGCUAAUACCGGAUAGGAGCUCCAGCUGCAUGGUGGGGGCUGGAAAGUUUCGGCGGUUGGGGAUGGACUCGCGGCUUAUCAGCUUGUUGGUGGGGUAGUGGCUUACCAAGGCUUUGACGGGUAGCCGGCCUGAGAGGGUGACCGGCCACAUUGGGACUGAGAUACGGCCCAGACUCCUACGGGAGGCAGCAGUGGGGAAUAUUGCACAAUGGGCGGAAGCCUGAUGCAGCAACGCCGCGUGCGGGAUGACGGCCUUCGGGUUGUAAACCGCUUUCGCCUGUGACGAAGCGUGAGUGACGGUAAUGGGUAAAGAAGCACCGGCUAACUACGUG
This 468-nucleotide ribosomal RNA is filed under the name uncultured bacterium. Its description in RNAcentral is "partial 16S ribosomal RNA". It matches the Rfam family "Bacterial small subunit ribosomal RNA", at positions 28 to 507 of the family's 1533-position model. The record is from RNAcentral.